Molecule: ribosomal RNA, 879 nt
Filed under: uncultured archaeon
Lineage: Archaea
Description: bacterial SSU rRNA
Rfam family: Archaeal small subunit ribosomal RNA
Source: RNAcentral
UGGCCGCGGGAUUUGAUUAAGCCAUGCGAGUCGAACGAAUUUAGAUUCGUGGCGUACGGCUCAGUAACACGUGGAUAACCUACCCUUAGGACCGGGAUAACCUUGGGAAACUGAGGAUAAUACUGGAUAGGCAAUUAUUCCUGUAAUGGUUUUUUGUUUAAAUGUUUUUUCGCCUAAGGAUGGGUCUGCGGCCGAUUAGGUAGUUGGUUAGGUAAUGGCUUACCAAGCCGUUGAUCGGUACGGGUUGUGAGAGCAAGAGCCCGGAGAUGGAACCUGAGACAAGGUUCCAGGCCCUACGGGGUGCAGCAGGCGCGAAACCUCCGCAAUGUGAGAAAUCGCGACGGGGGGAUCCCAAGUGCCAUUCUUAACGGGAUGGCUUUUCAUUAGUGUAAAGAGCUUUUGGAAUAAGAGCUGGGCAAGACCGGUGCCAGCCGCCGCGGUAACACCGGCAGCUCUAGUGGUAACAAUUUUUAUUGGGCCUAAAGCGUCCGUAGCCGGUUUAAUAAGUCUCUGGUGAAAUCCUGUAGCUUAACUGUGGGAAUUGCUGGAGAUACUAUUAGACUUGAGACCGGGAGAGGUUAGAGGUACUCCCAGGGUAGAGGUGAAAUUCUGUAAUCCUGGGAGGACCGCCUGUUGCGAAGGCGUCUAACUGGAACGGUUCUGACGGUGAGGGACGAAAGUUAGGGGCGCGAACCGGAUUAGAUACCCGGGUAGUCCUAACUGUAAACGAUGCGGACUUGGUGUUGGGGGUGGCUUUGAGCUGCUUCAGUGCCGAAGGGAAGCUGUUAAGUCCGCCGCCUGGGAAGUACGGUCGCAAGACUGAAACUUAAAGGAAUUGGCGGGGGAGCAAAUCACUAGUGCGGCCGCCUGCAGGUCGAC